CUCAGCCUACGGGGGGCAGCAGUGGGGAAUAUUGCACAAUGGGGGGAACCCUGAUGCGGCAAUGCCGCGUGGGUGAAGAAGCACUCCGGUGCGUAAAGCCCUGUCAGCAGGGAAGAAAAUGACAGUACCUGGACAAGAAGCCCCGGCUAACUACGUGCCAGCAGCCGCGGUAAUACGUAGGGGGCAAGCGUUAUCCGGAUUUACUGGGUGUAAAGGGAGCGUAGACGGCUGUGCAAGUCUGAAGUGAAAGCCCGUGGCUCAACCGCGGAACUGCUUUGG
RNAcentral lists this ribosomal RNA (279 nucleotides) under uncultured bacterium. RNAcentral's name for it is "partial 16S ribosomal RNA". It matches the Rfam family "Bacterial small subunit ribosomal RNA", at positions 330 to 629 of the family's 1533-position model. The record is from RNAcentral.